RNAcentral lists this small nucleolar RNA (111 nucleotides) under Pan troglodytes (chimpanzee). RNAcentral describes it as "Small nucleolar RNA SNORA40". It matches the Rfam family "Small nucleolar RNA SNORA40". Rfam says of the family: The snoRNA ACA 40 belongs to the H/ACA family of snoRNAs and guides the pseudouridylation of 28S rRNA subunit at position U4565. NB This family has a high threshold value to exclude a large number of closely related sequences that do not appear to have conserved H and ACA boxes, and may be pseudogenes. The record is from Rfam by way of RNAcentral. Lineage: Eukaryota; Metazoa; Chordata; Mammalia; Primates; Hominidae.
UGCACUUAUAUAUAUAUAUAUUUAUGGAUAAGUACAAAAAAUAAAUCCUGUUUUGCAACCCAGAACUCAUUGUUCAGUAUGAGUUUUUUUUUUUUUAAUUGGCUGGGUAUC